Molecule: long non-coding RNA, 247 nt
Filed under: Gossypium barbadense (sea-island cotton)
Lineage: Eukaryota; Viridiplantae; Streptophyta; Magnoliopsida; Malvales; Malvaceae
Description: long non-coding RNA (GBAR_LNC020181)
Source: RNAcentral
AAGAUGGGGAAAUUAAUUUCCAAAAGGCUUGGAGUGUUUGUGAUGAUAUUUGUGUUUGCUAUAGGUAUAGCAGAAUGUAGAAAACUUGAGAAGGAAACCCUUGGAGGUGGUUUUGGUGGAGGCGUCGGAGGAGGGGUUAGUGGUGGCCAUGGUGGUGGUUUAGGUGGAGGCUUUGGAGGUGGAAAAGGUGGUGGGGUAGGAGUUGGAGGUGGAGCCGGUGCAGGUGGUGGUGGCGAUCUUGGAGGUG